AGCGAGGCUUCAGAAGCAUUAGUGAUUGCAAGUGCGUCAGAAGCUGUGGCAUGUUUAAGAUUUGUGAAGACUCACUGGGUGGCUCUGAAGUUACUUCCAGCUGUUUCUGUUGCAGGACUUUUUGUGUCAAAUAGAAAGGUACUGUAGGCAGUGCCAUUUGACCACACCGAUCAUGUUUCCCCCUGAGCAUCCCGUGGAAGAGGUCGGUCGCUUGCUGUUAUGUUGCCUCUUAAAACAUGAAGAUUUAGGUCAUGUGGCAUUAUCUUUAGUUCAUGCAGGUGCACUUGGUAUUGAGCAAGUAAAGCACAGAACGUUGCCUAAGUCAGUGGUGGAUGUUUGUAGAGUUGUCUACCAAGCAAAAUGUUCGCUCAUUAAGACUCAUCAAGAACAGGGCCGUUCUUACAAGGAGGUCUGCGCUCCUGUCAUCGAACGUUUGAGAUUCCUCUUUAAUGAAUUGAGACCUGCUGUUUGUAAUGACCUCUCUAUAAUGUCUAAGUUUAAAUUGUUAAGUUCUUUGCCCCGUUGGAGGAGGAUAGCUCAGAAGAUAAUUCGAGAACGAAGGAAAAAGAGAGGUAAGAAUGUAAAAGGACAGAAGAUACUAUUAAAGCUUGUGCUUCACCCUGCCAUGUUGGAUCUGUGAUUUCAGAGUGAAGUUUCUCUACUGUUGAUCCCAUGUGACAUUUCUACCUGCUGCCAUCAUUUUUAUUAUAGUUAUGAUUAAAUACAGAAAUCUCGCUUAUUUUUCCAAGUGAUCAGACAAUGAGGCACUUUAGGAAUUGAGUGUGGUAUGAUUUGAUUACUAGUAAAUUGAUGUUGAAAACGUAAAUAAUCUUUGCUAAAUUGAUGGGAACAAGGAAGUACUUUUAUUAGUUAUCCUGGUAAUGAGAUAUAAUGGGAACAUUUAAACUUAUUGCCAUUCUUCUAAAGAAAUGUUUUUUGUUUGGAAAUAUUGAGUAUUCUGAUACAUGAAGAACUAAAAAGGGAAGCUAAAAGAGUUACUGACAUUUUCCUGGAAGUAGCUGUGUAAGGGUACAGAAAAGUCUUUUUGCAUUAAAUCCAAAUUUGAAUAAAAAUGCUUAGAAAUUAUAAAAUAGUUUAGAAUUUAGUCACUUGUGAUUAUAAAUAAACUACAGAAAUUUCUGAUUAUAUCCUUUUUUUUUUCUUUGAGAUGGAGUCUUGCUCUGUUGCCAGGCUGGAGUGCGGUGGUGCGAUCUCAGCUCACUGCAACCUCCGCCUCCCAGGUUCAAACGAUUCCCCUGCCUCAGCCUUCCAAGUAGCUGGGAUUACAGGCACGCGCCACCACGCCUGGCUAAUUUUUGUAUUUUAGUAGAGACGGAGUUUCACCAUGUUGGCCAAGAUGGUCUUGAUCUCCUGACCUCGUGAUCUGCCUGCCUCGGCCUCCCAAAGUGCUGGGAUUACAGGCGUGAGCCACCACGCCUGGCCUCUGAUCAUAUUAUGACUUAUACUGAUUUACUCACAAACCUGCUUAUUGAACAGUAUUGAUUACUGAGUUUCUGAUGGGCAUUUUGAACAAUAAGCUUAUGAAAGACUAAAGUGUGUUAGAAGCCAUCCUAAUUUGAUUGUUCCUGAACAAACCCUACACCAUAACAGCCUGUCUGAAUGCGAGGGGUGCUCUGGAUCAGGAAGUCACAGCAGUCACACUGCUGGAUUCCUUUAACCCAGACACGCAGGAACUCAGCCCGGGCCCAGCAGACAGGCUGCCUCGGCAUGAGGGAGAGAGAUUCCACAUUUGCCAUCUCAUAUCCGUGGGUUCUGAGCCCACACUGUCACUUUUAGAGUUUCUUGUGGAUUUAUAGAUUUAUUGUGUGUUGUUUCAGGCUGGUUUUCUUUUUUUUUCUUUUUUUUUGAAAUUAAGUAACUUGAAAAGAUUAAGUGAUUAAUAUUCCUGUUGCUGUGUCAGGGAUCCCCGAGCCUUCUCUCAGGCUUGAUGAUUCACUAAAAGGACUCAGAAGAGCUGUUAUAGUCACAGCUGUGUUUUUACUGCAAAAAGGAUACAGAUUAAAAUUAGCAGAGGGAAGGGUGCAUGGAGGGGAAGUCCAGAGGAAACUAGGCACACGCUUUGGUGUCUCUCCCCAGUGGCGUCACGUGGAUGUGCUUAGCUCUCCCAGCAACAGUGUCACAUCAUGUGUGAAGAAUUGUUAACCAGGCCAGCGCACCUGAGCCUCGAGUCUAGAGAUUUUGUUGGGGGCCAGUCACAUACGCAGGCAGUGCCCCUGUGACUGACCUCACUCAGGCUCCAGUGCCCCAGUGCAAAAACAAGUGGUCCCUCGCAAGUCCCAUCAUUAGCAUAAACUACCUGGCCAGACCACUGCCACAAGGUCCUGGGUGUCAGGUAUACCAAAAAACUUCUCAGGCAGGAUGUUCCAAGGGCUCAGAGCUCAGCUCUUGGAAGAAGGACCAAUCCUGAAGGGACAGACCUCCCUUGGGAAUUUGCAGGGUUUGAGCAACCCCGGCCUGCUAUGUUAGCUCUUUACUGCCCAGGUGUAUUAUCAUGUUGCUUAUUUUUUAUAUUAUAUGCUGAGGAGAUUUAGACCAAAAAUUUUAAAAGAGAUAAAGUAUAGGGAGGAAAUUCCACAUAUCACAGUGAAUUCAGUUGAUUCAGUUACACAGUAACAGAACCACUGAACUGGACCAGGGUGGACAAGCCAGGAACUAUGGGCCAAAUUCUACCUCUUGCUGGCUUUGGGUUGCCCAUGGACUAAGACCUUUUUUUUUUUUUUCAGUUUGAAAUUGUUUUUUAAAAAUUAAAAUAAGUAUAUUAUUUUGGCACAUGAAAAUUACAUGAAGCUAAAAUUGUAGCACCAUAAAUAAAGUUUUACGGGAGCACAGCCACACCUGUUGCUUUAUCUGUGGUUACUUUUUGUGCUACAGCAGCAGAGUUGAGUAUUUGCGACAGACUGCAUGGCCUGAAAGACUCAAAUGUUCACUCUCUGGCACUUGAGGAAGAGCUUGCUGGCUGCCGGGCUUCCCGUGCUUUGGGGCUUCUCCCCUCGUCGCACUCUCACUUUGUCUUUUUGUUCUGCCAGGGUGAUCAUUUCACUCUUGUUGUUGAGCAUUGCAAUUUAUAAUGUUGUUCAGAUGUUUAUUUGAAUGAAAUAUUUGUCCGAGAAUGGAUGUUAACAUUGUUAAGA
This 3152-nucleotide long non-coding RNA is filed under the name Pan troglodytes (chimpanzee). RNAcentral describes it as "lncRNA (ENSPTRG00000053184.1)". The record is from RNAcentral. Lineage: Eukaryota; Metazoa; Chordata; Mammalia; Primates; Hominidae.